GACGAACGCUGGCGGCGUGCUUAACACAUGCAAGUCGAACGGAAAGGCCCUGCUUUUGUGGGGUGCUCGAGUGGCGAACGGGUGAGUAACACGUGAGUAACCUGCCCUUGACUUUGGGAUAACUUCAGGAAACUGGGGCUAAUACCGGAUAGGAGCUCCUGCUGCAUGGUGGGGGUUGGAAAGUUUCGGCGGUUGGGGAUGGACUCGCGGCUUAUCAGCUUGUUGGUGGGGUAGUGGCUUACCAAGGCUUUGACGGGUAGCCGGCCUGAGAGGGUGACCGGCAACAUGGGGAGUGAGUUCGGCCCGAGCCCCCGCGGGGGGGAGGGAGGGGGGAUUUGGGCAGAGGGGGGGGAACCUGGAGGCAGCACCGCGGGGUGGGGGGUGAGGGCCUGGGGUUUGAAACCGGCUUCCGCCGGUGAGGAGGGGGGGGGGAGGGUAGGGGGUAAAGAAGCCCGGGCAAACCAGGUG
RNAcentral lists this ribosomal RNA (468 nucleotides) under uncultured bacterium. RNAcentral describes it as "partial 16S ribosomal RNA". It matches the Rfam family "Bacterial small subunit ribosomal RNA", at positions 28 to 507 of the family's 1533-position model. The record is from RNAcentral.